RNAcentral lists this unclassified non-coding RNA (1652 nucleotides) under Cyanidioschyzon merolae strain 10D. RNAcentral describes it as "hypothetical transcript". The record is from RNAcentral. Lineage: Eukaryota; Rhodophyta; Bangiophyceae; Cyanidiales; Cyanidiaceae.
GAAUACAGCGCCGAUGCGCUUUGCGCAGCGGUCGCACUCGACUGCUGUUGACGGGUACGCCACAUGUCCAGCGCACACCCGUCACCGAGUGCAGCGCUGUGCGGCGUGAAGGACUCCUCCAGUGCUCGGUGCACGCCCCUGACGAGUACAGAAGGCGUCGCUCGAUGCCGUGCUCCGUUGCCGCGCCCGGUACCGUACACUGUCGUCACGAACUUGUUCAGGGCGAUCCCCUCGGCGAGUACGCUGUCCGCGGCAGACGCAAGCGAAGGCUUCUGCAUUACGCAGAGGAUCUGUGAAACGCGGUGCUGUCCGUGAUAGAGCACGGAGCAGACGGAAGCUUCACACUCGAGAAGUCGUCGACAUACUCCGAGCCGUUUCCGAUCCCUGGUUGCAAAGCGGUGACACAGGCUCCGCUGGAAGCGAGUGCCGGGAGAGCUGGUAUCCGAGUCCGAGACCGAGCACCCAUGGACGGGCAGGAGCCGAGCACCCGUGGACGGGCAGGAGCCGAGCACCCGUGGACGGGCAGGAGCCGAGCACCCGUGGACGGGCAGGAGCCGAGCACCCGUGGACGGGCAGGAGCCGAGCACCCGUGGACGGGCAGGAGCCGAGCACCCAUGGACGGGCAGGAGCCGAGCACCCAUGGACGGGCAGGAGCCGAGCACCCCUGGACGUCCGUGCCCUGUGGGGUACCGUGCUUGCGUCGAACGCCGUCUCAGCGGUGUUAGCAAGGAGCCGGGCGAUAUGUCUCCUCGGCCGAGUUCGACGCUCUGACUUGCGAAGUACGGUGAGCGAUCGGCUCGAGCUUGUGAGCAAGUCGUUAACGGACGGCGUCGACGAACGUUCCGAAAGCGUCCAGGUGCUUGAGGUGGCGCGCCCACUGGGUUGCCUCGGAAUAGCAAGGUCGAAAACCUGAAGAUUGGAUACUCGGAGCGGGCUGCAAGUGAAGAUAGAAGAAGAGAGGCGUCUAGCGCGUAUGCAUACAACGGUAGUAUCGAUUCGUUUACGAUGCCUUGUUCGCGGGUGUCCCGAAUCGUCUCGAUUCUGGUGACGUAACGAGUUGCAGCGGCACAUCGUUGAACGUGUCGCUCCGCGAGAAAGAAGAACCACCGACCUAGAAUCCUGAGAGUGUAUACGAAUCCGUAAGCAUUUUAUUGGUGCUCCAUGAAAGUCAGCGCUUUGCAUCUGAACAAGUUCAGAGGGAAAUCUAAAUGCAGGAACAGGGUGUGCAGUUCUUUUGUAGACUUAUAUCUGACGCGGAUGCAGGACUGUGUGAACACUGAGCAAUACAAAAAAACGUUCAACGGCCAUGGAGGGUAUACAGACAUCCUCCCUCGCAGACGCCGCCCAGCCUUCUUCGACUGGCUCCCCUGCUAUCGGCUUCAGUUUCUCCUUGUACAUUUCGUGUUGGAAAAGUUGCCCCACGAAGUUCGCACGUGUCAGCUUCCCCGGUCUCGUCUUCAGCACCACUCAACACCUGAUAUCCUUGACGGCGUUGAAGUCUCGGUUCACGAACUCCACGCGUUUUAGUCUCUCGUGGAGCUCAUUCAGGCGAGGCUUCUUCGAACUCGCGCCCCCUGCGGCAUGUGCUGCUCUAUCAGCUGUCCGAGGUUUUCCAACGCCGAACCGCUCCGUUGCCUUCUCUCAACAUCAGC